AUGACCAGACAAGGCACUGGAAGUACCACAGUCAGUUCAUCAGCUGGCUCUUCCAGGAACACUUCAGGAAUUAGGAUGGAAGCAUAUUACUUCCUUUCCCACAGGAUAACUGCAGUGAAUACAAUAACCCUUGUUCGAAGAGAUGCUGCCUUGCACACUGCCUCACGCACUCCGUCAAACCAACAUCAUUUGCUCCCUUUCAGCAACAGCUGUGCAAAAGACCAUUCUAUAAGCUUAAACUUUUUUUUCUCUCUUUCUUUCUUCAGUUUGCAAGAACCUGACAUAAAAACUUGCAAGCCUCCACUUCAGAAACAUGAAAGCAAUGGCCUAUUCCAAGAACAGAGCAGGGAAAAAACAAAAGGACAACAAACUCCUGAGCAAGGAUCUGCCCCUCCAUUCACAAAAAUGUCCAUACAGACAACGUGAUAAACCAAUAAUGUUUUGCCCAGAACCUCUGCAGUUGUACAGCUGAUUGCCAACUGCUCUCUGCCACCUAGAAGCAAGCCCAGACCCUCUGUCCAUCCCCUCCCUGAAGGUCUGUGUUCAGCUGGUCACUCAAACAACCUCGCCAUUCCUAGGCAAUCCGGGCUAACCCAGGCUAAUCGCUGCCGCUCGGUACAGCUGACUCUUAUCCCUUCUCCAGCCUUACUUAGGAAAUUGCAGUGGGAUUGAUUAUUUGGGAUGGGAUUUCAACCCCUCACACUCCUUGCAGGGUCACAUGUGGUUUAUUUAUAUCUACCUCAGUCAUCCUAGGGACAAGUGGAAAUUUGUCAGCCACCAUCCUGCGGCAUUCGGAAAAAGUAAGAGCAGAGUCAAAUGUAAAAGAGAUCUUUAGGUUUCUUUCUGUCCUGGACCUAAAUCUGGCUGGUUCGGCAUGGUUAUGGGCAAAACCAAUCUUGUCACCUGCACUAGUACAUAGAAUGCAAACAGAAAGUGGGGAUGGAUAACUGAGAGCAUUAUUAAUUAGCUCCGAAAUACACAAGUAGGAAAGAAGGAUCCAGCAGGCAAAAUGCAGGGAGAAGGGAAAGCAGCUACUUAUAAAUACCAAGGGUAUAUAAAAGGAACAGAUAACAACUGGGGGAGGAAAGAGGAAGGGAACUGAAAACUAUGGAUAAAAUGAGAAACUAAGAGUUGCAGAAAACUGAUAUGAGAGGUAAAAGGAUGUAAGGGUCAGCAGAACUAAUGGCAAUAAAAUUUAUUUGCAGUAUGUUAAAAACA
This 1218-nucleotide long non-coding RNA is filed under the name Anas platyrhynchos platyrhynchos (common mallard). RNAcentral describes it as "lncRNA (ENSAPLG00000025140.1)". Lineage: Eukaryota; Metazoa; Chordata; Aves; Anseriformes; Anatidae. The record is from RNAcentral.